This 546-nucleotide ribosomal RNA is filed under the name Paraleptamphopidae sp. S39_2166. RNAcentral describes it as "partial small subunit ribosomal RNA". The record is from RNAcentral. Lineage: Eukaryota; Metazoa; Arthropoda; Malacostraca; Amphipoda; Paraleptamphopidae.
GUGCCUGUCACACUCCAAGUCCGCCGCUUACCCACACGGGUGUCUUUUGCACUGGUCUUAACAGCCACGUGUGAUUGUGCUUCAUGAGUAAAACUCUUCUUAGAGGGAUUCACGGUUCUGAAGCCGUAAGAAACUGAGAGCAAUAACAGGUCUGUGAUGCCCUUAGAUGUUCUGGGCCGCACGCGCGCUACAAUGCCGGGCACAGCAGGUUCAUGUCCUUCUCCGAGAGGAGUGGGGAACCCUCUGAAAGCCCUUUAACACAACUUAUCAAAGGGGUUCGCUCGCCUCGUGCUUGCGUUCUUCUUCCUUGGCAUGCUUGGGCCUGGGGCUUGCAAUUCUUUCCCACAAACGAGGAAUGCCUAGUAGCGGCGGAUCACUGAGUUCGCUGUGACUCAGUCCCUGCCCUUUGUACACACCGCCCGUCGCUACUACCGAUUGGGUGUACCAGUGAGAUCCUUGGACUGGCGAGCCUUGUAUCACUUCCAGCAAKGGGGGUGUUCAAGUGUGUACGACGGAAAGAGGCUCGAACUGGUGCACUUAGAGGAA